UACGUAGGGGGCCAGCGUUGUCCGGACUUACUGGGCGUAAAGCGCGCGCAGGUGGAUGAGUAUGUGCCGUGUGAAAGCGCCGUCCUUACGAUGGCGAGGUCGUGGUAGACAGCUUAUCUAGAGGCUCAGAGAGGUCGAUGGAAUUCCGGGUGGAGCGGUGAAAUGCGUAGAGAUCCGGAGGAACACCAGGGGCGAAAGCGGUCGACUGGCUGAGUGCUGACACUGAGGCGCGACGGCGUGGGGAGCAAACCGG
RNAcentral lists this ribosomal RNA (253 nucleotides) under uncultured bacterium. RNAcentral describes it as "partial 16S ribosomal RNA". It matches the Rfam family "Bacterial small subunit ribosomal RNA", at positions 524 to 776 of the family's 1533-position model. The record is from RNAcentral.